GACAGAGGGUGCAAACGUUGCUCGGAAUUAUUGGGCGUAAAGCGCACGUAGGCGGUUCGUUAAGUCGGAUGUGAAAGCCCUCGGCUCAACUGAGGAAGUGCACCCGAAACUGGCGAGCUUGAGUACGAAAGAGGAUCGCGGAAUUCCCGGUGUAGAGGUGAAAUUCGUAGAUAUCGGGAGGAACACCGGUGGCGAAGGCGGCGAUCUGGGUCGAUACUGACGCGUGAGGAGCGAAAGCGUGGGGAGCGAACAGG
Molecule: ribosomal RNA, 254 nt
Filed under: uncultured bacterium
Lineage: Bacteria
Description: partial 16S ribosomal RNA
Rfam family: Bacterial small subunit ribosomal RNA
Source: RNAcentral